GGGAGGAUGGCUGAGUGGUUUAAGGCGAUACUUUGCUAAGGUGUUUGCCCGACGGGCAGCGUGGGUUCGAAUCCCACUCCUUCUA
This 85-nucleotide transfer RNA is filed under the name Chitinophagales bacterium. RNAcentral's name for it is "tRNA-Ser". It matches the Rfam family "tRNA". From Rfam's summary of the family: Transfer RNA (tRNA) molecules are approximately 80 nucleotides in length. The record is from RNAcentral. Lineage: Bacteria; Pseudomonadati; Bacteroidota; Chitinophagia; Chitinophagales.